RNAcentral lists this small nucleolar RNA (138 nucleotides) under Castor canadensis (American beaver). Its description in RNAcentral is "Small nucleolar RNA SNORA56 (ENSCCNG00000011221.1)". Lineage: Eukaryota; Metazoa; Chordata; Mammalia; Rodentia; Castoridae. The record is from RNAcentral.
AGGCAAACAUUAUAUAUUUUAAUUAAAAACGAUCCUAGUCUGGUUUAUUGGACUUUGAGGAACUCAGUCUGCAACUUUAAGUGGUGGGUUCUCUCCAGUGUCAGGAUUUUGAUGAUGACUUUGUUUUGCCAAAUAUCA